GCGCCCGUAGCUCAGUCGGAUAGAGCACCAGAUUCCUAAUCUGGGGGUCGCAGGUUCGAAUCCUGUCGGGCGCGCCA
RNAcentral lists this transfer RNA (77 nucleotides) under Alphaproteobacteria bacterium. RNAcentral describes it as "tRNA-Arg". It matches the Rfam family "tRNA". Rfam says of the family: Transfer RNA (tRNA) molecules are approximately 80 nucleotides in length. The record is from RNAcentral. Lineage: Bacteria; Pseudomonadati; Pseudomonadota; Alphaproteobacteria.